Non-coding RNA from Pelobates cultripes (western spadefoot toad), 19421 nucleotides. NCBI's taxonomy places the organism in Eukaryota, Metazoa, Chordata, Amphibia, Anura, Pelobatidae. The record is from the annotation of a GenBank genome assembly.
CUAGUUUUGGUUUUAUCUCUCUCCCAAUACCGAGGACCUUCACCACCUACCAACACCUACAUCCUACCAGUGGGGGAUCGACGCCACUGAAUGCCAUUUACAACUGAGCUUUUUACUAGGUGAGUAGGAGUAUUACCAUUGCUUCUAAACUCCUCUUUUCACUACCAGAAACAGAUUACACUAUUGGAAUUUUUUCUAAUUUACAUACUCCUAUGGAAUCUGAAUAUCCCACUACCUCAGAACCUCUACAACCAACAUAUCCAUAUCUCACUCAAAUUCUUCAAUCAAUUUGGACUUUUCAUCAAUAUGUCUUUUAACCAGGACUAUUCUAUUUCGCAUUUAUGAUUUUGUAUGUAAGUAUACCACUGGUUUUAUCAUUGAUUUUAUUGUGGUGCAACCUAUAAUUUUCGUUUUUACAUUAAUAUAAAUCUUAAAUUCACCUCAGAAAUUGGUGGCAACUGUAUCAACUUUCUUGAUAUUACAAUUUUCAUAGGGAUGGAUAGUAAACUAGAGACCACCUUAUGUCAAAACACGACUGCAACCAACAACUUACUUAACUGGCUGAGUCAUCAUCCACCAGUCCUUAAAAGGGGUAUACCAGUUGGGCUAUAUUUUAGAUUACGUAGAAAUUGCUCAUCUGUGGAAGAUACCCACUGAAACCUCAAUGACUCCAAAAACCCUUUAAGGAAAAAAGGGUAGCCAUAUACAAGGGUAGCCAUAUCCAAAUGGUCUAAAUAAAGGUUUUUCAUAUACCCCAUUUAUUCAGUAAUAUCUCAUUUUCUCUGCUAUGUGUUACCUUUUCUAAGAACUAUAACGUCUUUGUAAAUAUUUAAAUAAAUGAUUUUAUGUGUAUAUACAUUCUGUAAACUCUGUUGGAGGGGCCUGUUUGCCAGCCUCCUGCCAAAAGACUAUGGGCCCUUUAAAAAACCUUUGUGAUUUAUGUACUGUUGUACUCCAGAAAGAGAGACCUACCAUUAGCCCUGAUUCCCUGGAACUGUUUUGGGCAUAGGACCAUGUGCACGGUCGGUCAAAAUUAUGACUUCCAUGGAAAUUCUGAACCAUUGAACAGAUCUGGGUGAUUUUUGGAUAUGUUGGUCCCCCAGAUCAGGGCUAUCAGGGGAUGUGACUUUGUGAGGUUUCCAUGUAUUUUGGGGGUACUUUUGGGAGGUUGUUAUAAUGUAUGUUUUCUGUGCCUGGUGAUAAUGGAGUUUAGUACAGUUCCUGACUCAAUUAUCUCUCAGGCACAGGGGAGGGAUUAUCCUGUUUUGUGUGGGAGUGUCCUGGACCUCAGAGCCAAUGUAAUUACAGUGUGUACUUUGUCACAGUCCCCUCUCAGGUCCAGUGGGGAAUGCCCCUGGAAUAUGUAUCCGGAAAACCCUUGCAUGGGGACUGCAUGUGGCUCCCAUUAAACCAGUUCCUCUUCACCCUCAACAUAGAACCUCGUCUCAUGUGUGGAGGGAACAGCUAUAUUCACUCUGGGGAUUGCUAUAAUCACUAUACUCCCUUGGAUUAUAAUCACUUGCUCUUGUAAGAGCUAUCCUGCUAUAUUCUCUGGAGUAGGAGAGGUCUACCCACUGUAAGCUGGAUCCUGGUCUUGGGUCCAGGGUGGGUGGAGGACAGCGAGACCCCAACCAAGUUGUAAUGCUGGCUGCAGGGUUUACGGUUGUUAUGGUGUCGAGUGGAGUGCUUGGAGUACUUGGUGAGCACUAGGAAGCAGAAAUCAGCCGAGGCACCCAGUCGGGGUGCCAGGGGGUCCGCCACAACUUUAACUUAUGACAUUUUGCCUAAUGAAGAAUUUUAAAUGUUUAGUUUACUGGCUACUACAGGUGGGGCACCAAUAAUGUAUGAGAGAUUGAUAACAGCUUUUCAAAAAUUGGUUACCCUUGAAAACUCCACAUCUGGUUUAGAAGGUUUAACCUAAUUGCUUUGUGGACCCAACCUUAUAUAUUGGAGAUCCUUUCAGUCUGCAUCUUGCCUCACACUAAGUGGCACCGAAACGUGCAAAUUUUUGCACAUUUACUAUUUCACUGUGCACUUUAUUUACAGCACUAUGCACUUUUCAAUUUCUUUGUUCAUUUUCUUUGUCUAGUCAGUUUUAAAGGGAGAGAGGGAUCUUUGCAUAUCUCUACCUUAUGCUAUACUUUGCUAUUGAUCCUCAAUAGAGGCCCAGUCUAUUUACUCGUUACGUUUUUCAUUUUAUAUGCAGUAGCCUUUUUGUGCAUUUACAGUUUGUUGUUUCCAAACCACUUAAGGGUAUCGAUAGGAGACAUUAUUUUGUAUCCCUUAUCACUGUUAAUCUUGGAAAUGAAAUGGUGGUUACUUUAACUGCUAUGGGUAUAUAAUAUUAAUAAGAAUAUAAGAGGGGCUAGUUGGCAAACACUUUAAUAAAGCCUUUUAUUUCAUUGAUAUGUGGGAGUUUAAGUGAUCACUAGACAGAUCAGAAAUGCCUUUUUCACGGACCAUGUAUUUUACUAGUUAAUCAUUAUAAGGUUACUCUCUGUCCUGCUUUCUAUACCAGGCAGCCUUUUCCAUCGGUUUUCUUUUGGGAACUACAAAUUAUUUCUGUACUUUUAUUCCAGUCCUGAUAGUCAAUAUACUCCACUAUUGGACUCUCUCUGGUUUUUGUUUUACAUAUUUACUUAUCCGAAGCACAACGACCACCCACCACUACCCUACAAUGCAAUGUUUGCAAGCUCACAGGCCCAGAAUAAUAGCACAAUGUUCUGUGGGUUUCUAGGUGUCCAAUCUCUGUCUAGAAAUCUAGGAAUUUAUUUCUAUUAUAGUUGAUAGUAGCUCUUCUGGUAAUUAGAAUAACUUGGGCCCUAAUCGUGCUGUAAAUUCAUCAGGAUUACAGACUGGAUUACAAUAGACAGCAAGCUCCAGGGGUCAAUUCUAGUAUACCAGUUAUAUUAUCAGAUUGUCCCUGCUUACAGCUUAGAUUGCAAGCUCUUUAGGUCACUAACUGCUGCUAGAAGGAAGUCAUGAUUCUGAUUUGGCAGGUGACAUAUUUCUAUCAAUUCCUGGUGUUGUGAGAGACAAUGACAAGUGACACAGGAACAGGAAGAAAGAUCUAAAGCUUGUAUUUAGAAUCCAAACCCCAUCAGCCGCCUGGCAGGAGGGGACAGUUUAUCACAUUCUCAGUCUUUUCUCACCUUCAUUCAGACACAUCGAACACAGAUCAUUUUAGUUACCAAUUUGGUAGCAGCGGGAGAUUAGCGUCCCAUUGCGCGUCUUUCCGAGUGUAGUUUAUAUCUAAUCCAGGCCAGUGGGACGCCCUCAGUGUUACUUGCUCUCAACAAUUUUUAUAAGAGUGGAAAUCAAUCAAAUUCAUGCCUUUGUUUUAUUUAAACAAUCUAUCAGCCACAGGGAUUCUAUCAGCUCUUUCCUGGCUGCGAGCGAGGUCCAGCUCUGUCGUAGUCCAAACUUCUACCCCAAAUGGUUUCUUAGUUUUUUUAUGAACAAUUAAUGAAUCAGCACAGGGCAGUAGUGGUACUUUCCACAUAAAAACCUACAAAGAUUCUCACCCUGCUUUCAUUCAAAAAUAUCCAAAUAAUGUGAGUUUCUGCAAUGUUACGACAAUGUGAGUUUCUGCAAUGUUACGACAAUAUGUAUAUAACAUGCGACACUAUAAAAAUGUUAAUUAUCAGUUAUCCCAUGUCCGGUACCCAUUAUCAGUUACCCCAAGUCCAAUAGCUAUUAUCAGUUACCUCAGGUCUGGUACCCAUUAUCAGUUACCCCAUGUCCGAUAUCCAUUAUCAGUUACCGCAUGUCCAGUACCCAUUAUCAGUUACCCCGUGGCAGUUACCCCAAGUCCAAUAGCCAUUAUCAGUUACCCCAUGUCUGGUACACAUUAUCAGUUACCCAAGUCCAAUAGCCAUUAUCAGUUACCCCAUGUCUGGUACACAUUAUCAGUUGCCCCAAGUCCAAUAGCCAUUAUCAGUUACCCCAUGUCCCAUAUCCAUUAUCAGUUACCGCAUGUCCAGUACCCAUUAUCAGUUACCCCGUGGCAGUUACCCCAAGUCCAAUAGCCAUUAUCAGUUACCCCAUGUCUGGUACACAUUAUCAGUUACCCAAGUCCAAUAGCCAUUAUCAGUUACCCCAUGUCUGGUACACAUUAUCAGUUGCCCCAAGUCCAAUAGCCAUUAUCAGUUACCCCAUGUCCCAUAUCCAUUAUCAGUUACCGCAUGUCCAGUACCCAUUAUCAGUUACCCCGUGGCAGUUACCCCAAGUCCAAUAGCCAUUAUCAGUUACCCCAUGUCUGGUACACAUUAUCAGUUACCCAAGUCCAAUAGCCAUUAUCAGUUACCCCAUGUCUGGUACACAUUAUCAGUUGCCCCAAGUCCAAUAGCCAUUAUCAGUUACCCCAUGUCUGGUACACAUUAUCAGUUACCCAAGUCCAAUAGCCAUUAUCAGUUACUCCACAUCAGUUAACCCACACCCAUUAUCAGUUACUUCAUGUCCCAAACCCAAUUUUAGUUACCCCAUGGCAGUUACCCAAUGUCCGAUACCCUUUAUCAAUUACUCUGUGGCAGUUACCCCAUGUCCGAUACCCAUUAUCAGUUACCUCAUGUCUGAUACCCAAUUUUAGUUACCACAUGUCCCAAACCCAUUAUCACUUACCCCAUGUAAUUUACCCCAUGUGUGAUACCCAUUUUUAGUUACCCAGUGUCCGAUACCUAUAAUCAGUUACCCCUUGGAAAUCACCCCAUGUCUGUUACCCAUAAUCAGUUACCUCAUGGCAAUUACCCUAUGUGUGAUACCCAAUUUUAGUAACCCCAUAACAGUUACCCCAUGUCCAAUACCCAUUAUCAGUUACCCAACAGCAGUUACUCUAUGUCCGAUACCCAUGAUCAGUUACCUCAUAGCAGUUACCACAUGUCCAAUUAUGAGUUACCCCAUGGUUACCAAAUGUCCAAUACCCAUUAAUAGUUACCCUAUGGUAGGUACCCCAUGCUUGGCACCCAUUUUUAGUUAAAAGCAAGAGGAUAUUCACUUGUCCAGUACUGGUACAGUUCAAAGGGCAGCUAGGUCACCAAAUCCAGGGUUUCUCUUGUCCCGUAGAUAAGCAGGUAAAAACAAAGAGGGAGGGGCAGCACCUGGAAUGUCCUGGAAUGUCCUUGGAGUAUGUAUAUAUAACCAUAAUAAGGAGGAGAAAUAAGAAACUGAUAGUAAAGUAUGUAAAAAAUACAGUAAGGUAAAGGUAAAUAAACUAUAUGCACUUACACUUUAUAGGAGCUUAGUUGCAGCUCUAACUUAGAAACUUUGGUGGAACAAUUCCCACCUGAGAAUAUGAUGGAGGACUCACUCUAUAGAUGGUUAUUGUGGAUGCAGCUUCUCAUGCAGAUAUGUAGGAGAAAUUAGAGAUAUAUAGUGCUUGGGUAGGUUUGGAUCUGAUAGAGGGGUAGAUUGCAUUCUGGAUAGAGGGUCAGAUAGGGUUCGGUAGGUUGGGUUCUGGAUAGUGAGGUUUGUAGGGCUGGAUAGGUUGGGUUCUGGAUGGAGGGGCAGAUAUGGCUGGGUAGAUUGGGUUCCACAUAUAGGGGUAGAUAUGGCUGGGGGCUGGAUAGUGGGGUAUGUAGGCUGGGUGGGCUGGGUUCUGGAUAGUGGGGUAUGUAGGCUGGGUGGGCUGGGUUCUGGAUAGUGGGGUAUGUAGGCUGGGUGGGCUGGGUUCUGGAUAGUGGGGUAUGUAGACUGGGUAGGUUAGUGUAACGGAUCGAAAUAGUAUAAACAAAGAUAGAGAUAGGGGCACAACUUAAAGUGUAAUAAGAAAAUAAAGAAAUAAGUUGACAAUACUUAUUCACAUUUGGCCAUCAAAUUUAGAAUUUCACUUAAAAAACAGACAAUACAAAGCAUAAUACUGUAUAAACAUAAAAUGUCAAUGUUGGAUAUAGAUUUCACACUCACACUUUGCAGAGCCACAUAUAGUAGGCUCUGACUUUUCAGGCUUUUCAAAAUGCUCACUGUUAAAAAAAAAAAAGGGUCCCUAAAUACUAAUAGAGGGGGGACCGUUUGUCCUCCCCCUGGCCGCUACCCCUGAGCGGUAGGUGGGAGCCCUAAAAUUAACAAUAAGGGGGGGACCUAUUGUCCCCCCCGGUCCCCACCCCUGAGCGGUGGGUGGGGGCCCUAAAAUUAACAAUAAGGGGGGGACCUAUUGUCCCCCCCCGGCCCCCACCCCUGAGCGGUGGGUGGGGGCCCUAAUAACAAUAAGGGGGGACCUAUUGUCCCCCCCUGGCCCCCACCCCUGAGCGGUGGGUGGGGGCCCUUAAAUUAACAAAAAAAUUAUAUAAAAAUAACUUACCAUUUGAUGUUUUCUUUCUUCUACAAUCUUCUUUUUUCAGCCCCAAAAAAGGCCAAAAAAAGCCAUAAGAACCGACGCAAUAAAAAAAACCAACCAAAAAAAAAAACCGAGCGCACAAAAAAAUAAUCCAUCUUCACCCAUGGAGGGCUCCGCGCAGACUGAGCUCUGCAGGGCGGGGGAAGGCUUAUAAAGCCUUGCCACGCCCUGCAAUUAGGCAGGGCGUAAAAUGACACAGAGCACUCUGAUUGGCUGGUUUAAGCCAAUCAGAGUGCUCUGUGUCAUUUUACACAGCGUGGGAAAAUUGAACUUUCCCACGCUGUGUAAAAUGACACAGAGCACUGUGAUUGGAUGGAUUUCAAGCCAUCCAAUCACAGUGCUCUGUGUCAUUUUACACAGCGUGGGAAAGUUAAAUUUUGGCUUGAAAUCCAUCCAAUCACAGUGCUCUGUGUCAUUUUACACAGCGUGGGAAAGUUAAAUUUUCCCACGCUGUGUAAAAUGACACAGAGCACUGUGAUUGGAUGGAUUUCAAGCCAUCCAAUCACAGUGCUCUGUGUCAUUUUACACAGCGUGGGAAAGUUCUUUUGAAUUUUCCCACGCUGUGUACAAUGACAAAGAGCACUCUGAUUGGCUUAAACCAGCCAAUCAGAGUGUUCUUAGCCUAAUUGCAGGGCGUGGCAAGGCUUUAUAAGCCUUCCCCCGCCCUGCAGAGCUCAGUCUGCGUGGAGCCCUCCAUGGGUGAAGAUGGAUUAUUUUUUUGUGCGCUCAUUUUUAAAAAAUUUUUUUUUUUUUAAUUGCGUUGGUUCUUAUGGCUUUUUAUUUGGCCUUUUUUGGGGCUGAAAAAAGGUCUUGGGGUCUGAGCGAUCAUAGGGCGAACCCCUGGGGUCGGAUUUGAGAUCAGUCCCUUUUUUGGUGGCCAGGUUGAUGGCAUUGGAAGCAUUUGGGGCCACCUGUGGGGGUACCCUUGGGUGGUGGGCUUCUUGGUGGGGGGUAGGUUGGGGCUGUAGGGCGCAAGGGGAGUCUGUAGGUCACAGGAGCAGCUGGGCAUUGGGGCCACUGGGUGUCAGCAUAGUCAUCACUCUCUGUGCUGCCUCAGUUAAAGUUCUGGGCUGGCUGUCCCUCACCCACUUCCACACCUCAAUGGGGAGCCCGUUUUAAAAAUGUUCCAACAUGAAGAGCUGUAGGAUCACGGGGGGUGGGGGGUGGGACUUGGUAUGUUCAGAGUUUAUCCAGUUGUGGGUGGCCCGGGUGAUACAGCAUGCCCACUCUGUAUGGGAGUCCUUCUCUCCGUUCUUGGUCUCACUGAAUUUUCGGAAGUAUGCCUCUGGGGUGAUGGCAAACCUGGCCAGUAGUACCUUCUUAAUGAAGGGGUAAUCCCGGAGCUGUUCCUCAGUUACAGCCCGGUACACUUCCACCACCUUCCCCAACAACUUGCUGGACAAGAUGGUUACCCAGUCAGGUUGGUUGACUGCUUGCAGGAGGCACUGGCAUUUGAAAUAGUCAAAGCCCUCUUCUGCUUCCUUAAACUACUUUAAGGCGUUGUAUGGCAGCUUUGGCUUGUGUGUAGGUGUAGACGGCUCCUCUUGCCCGCUGUCCCUCGGGUAGUGUGACCCCCCCCUACUUCUGAGCCAGAACAAAUGCGUGGGUCUCCGCGAUGAGCUUGGCUAGUAUUUCAGAUGGGGGCAUCCCUGGGAAUAAGGCAAAGUGCUGCCUUAUUGCCUUUUUGACCACUCUUCCCCCUCCAGCUGUGGAGUAGCCGACUCCUGUCUUCUCUGAUCGUCCUCCAUGAGUUUGGCAAUCAGCUCCACUGUUUUAUGGUUGCCUGCCGAUUUCCCUCUCGCUUCCAGCAAGUCCUGUAGGGUUUGUCUCUUGAGGUAACUAUAGUCCAUGGAUCUGUUCGCAGGGACAUAGGAUACCAUCGCUUGCCACCAGUUGUAGCGGGCCGAGGGUAACCCGAUUGGUUACCUCAACUGAUACAGAACGAAGAUGACUGGAUGACACACAGUUCCAGGCGUACAACAACAACAACUUUAUUGGCCACAUUCGACUUUAUGCUUUUCCCCAUGCAAGGGGUGGAUCACACACAAAGACAAAGACCCAGGGUAGGCACGCGCUGAGGCUUCCUUGCGGUAUGUGGUUUUCACACGUCGUUUGUGAGGUGUGAACGUUCUAAACAAACAUUCUUAAUGGGGUAUUGACGUGGUCCCUGUUCGGGAGACUAACGGAACCCAUUUGUAUAAGUUCUCCCAAAUAGGGAACAGGUAAAACAUACAAAUACAUGGAGGGGAGGGGGGGAAUACAGGCAAUCACAUAAAGACAUUUCAAGAAAAGGGUAGAGGUCCUGCCACAGUGAGAUACUGUAUGCCUUCCAAGCACUUGAUGCAGUCUUUGAGCCCAAUAAACCUAUGCCUUCUUUGGGCUCUAAGGGCAUGACAGUCCUAGAGCCCAAUCAAAAUAUGCCUUCAAAGGGCUUGACGUAUUCCUUGAGCCCAAUCAACCAAUGCCUUCCAAGGAGGUUAUGGAUGAAUGGAAGGCGGAGGAUUCCCCGUCCGAAGAGGAGGACUGGUUUGACACUCACCGAGAGGACCCGGGGUCUGACUUAGACGAAGACCAGGAGGUCCGGCAGGGGCAUAGGAAACCCCGCAUCCGAGCAGAAGGGUCGGAAGAGGGUGCCUUCCUGGACCCCCAGGGCACGCCGAUGUUCAACCCACGCACAAUCCGCCACCCAAGGUCUUCGGAGUGGGGUCUCCCAGAUCACCUGGCCCAAUUCAUCCACUUCUGGCUGCGACAGCCGAUGGAAAAAGAAAUGCGUGUACGACUAAAGGCAGAGUGUCCGAGGCCCAUGCUUCCGGACAAGAUUGCUCAUACUCCGGAAUUCGAUACUACGGUGGUCUUGUUCAUGUUGCGAGCGGGCUUCCAAGGUCAUAACAGUCCCAUGCCCAUGCUUCCGGACAAGAUUGCUCAUACUCCGGAAUUCGAUACUACGGUGGUCUUGUUCAUGUUGCGAGCGGGCCGGGAUCCGCGCAAAGGCAUCGAGAAGGGCCUCAAGGCUUCGCAGGAUAAGCUUCUGGACAUGCUGGGCCCACUGGCAAAGAUUUUAUACCUGGCUGAUGAUGCCCUCACGGGAGGCAACGCUCUAGACGCCCAUGACAUCCGGGAAUGGGCUCAACGAGCGAUCUGUAUGUUGGGCAACACUAACGCAGCUCUAUGUGCGCAGAGACGCAAGGCGGCUUUGCUUAAAAUGGACUCCAAACUUCUGGAGCUUGGUAAAAAGGAGUUGGGCCCACAAGCCAAUGGCCAGUUGUUUGGGGAGUCGUUCAUAGGCGAAUUGAAGAAACAUGUGAACCUGUUCACUACGUUAAGCAAAGCACAGACUUCGAUCAAGCAAGUCUUCCGCAAACCCACAACGUACAGAGGGGUUUUCGGCAGGGCUGGCCGCCAACGGGGCCGAGCCACCAGCCGCUUCUGGCCGACAGGCCUCAGGAACCAAGCGUCACAAGCCUUCUUCCCAUGGAGGCCACCGUUCACUAGAGACUCCUUCCGUGCCAGAGGGACACACGGCCGCGGACGCAACAACACAGGCGAGCACUCUAAAACCAAUUGUAAGGAAAUCAAGUAUAGCUGAACCGCUUUGAUAAUUCCUCCUGCAAUGCCAGCGUCUAGGGUAGAUCCAAGCAAUAAAGUCCAUAAGAAAUAUAACAGCUUCCCAAGAUAAUCCCCCUGGUAAAGCAUACGAAUUCCCAAAUAACAGUCAGAGUCCAGAAUCAGGAUACAAGUAGAUCUGAGGUCUGGAAUCCCCAGCCUGCUUUUUAUUAGGGUUACAUACAAAAAAUACACACCCAGGGGGAGGCAUUAAAUCACCAAUCAGGUACAGGUUACAGCCCCUACCUCCCUCCCCUCUGAUAAACAGUUAACUUCAUUAAAACGUGCACUAUUUUACCCCAGUUCUGGAUGUACCCCAAAAACAGGGGGUACACCUUUAAAUUGGGCACCGCUGGAUAGUGCUCACUUGUGGGGACAAUAUGUCAAAAAAUCAGUCCAUUCGGAUGAAUGGUUCGGGAGUUAUGGAGCACUAAAGUUUUGACCGACCGCACGGAUCAUCUAGCCGAAAAUAGUUCCAUAAGUUUUGGCCCUGCGGUCGGUCUCCGUUUAGGCGAAUAAAAAAGACGAAAGUCCUGCCAUCCGUUCGCAUCUUCGUGGUCGUUGAAAUCCCCAUGCGAAGUUGCAUGUAACUACCGAACGGCCGGUGAUUCGGUUUUUCCCGUGCGAAGUUCUGGAUGUAUGGAGGUCUCAGCGGUGUUCGCCUGUUUGCGUAUCCGAUUUUAGUUCCACGCGUUGACGGGCAAACACCGCUGUUCGCACGUAAAAUGGCCGCGACCACGUGUAAAGUGCCGAAAUGGCGGCCACCUAGAUUUUACACGGGGAAUUCGCCUGAAUCCAUCCGAAGGGUAGCAAUUAUAGCUAUAUGCCAAAUUCCAGCUGAAUUGGGUGAAUUAACUGUGCAACAAAGGUAGAAAUUCUGAUGAACGGAGUCAUUUCUUCACACUGCUCCCCUAUAAGUCCAUAGGUCGGCAUACCCGCCUAGACCCUGUCGGGUUGGCUUGGGGAUGUCCGAUGAAAGUACGUUUUUAGGUGUCCAGUUCGGUCUGGCGGGACAGUCCAUCCGCAUUCCCAUUUUGUUUACCCGGACGGUACUGCAUGGUAAAAUUGUAUGGUUGGAGAGCUAGGCUCCACCGGAGUAGCCUGGGGUUGUCACCAGCUACCCGGUUGAGCCAUACCAGGGGGUUGUGGUCGGUCAUAAGGGUAAACGCUCGCCCAUACAGAUAGGGCUGAAGUUUCUUGAGGGCCCACACGAGGGCCAAGCACUCUUUUUCUACGGUGGCAUAGCUGACUUCUCGGGGCAAAAGUUUACGGCUGAGGUAUGCCACCGGGUGUUCCAUGCCAUCCGCCCCCACCUGGCUUAGCACGGCUCCCAGCCCAAACAUGGAGGCAUCUGUGUGGACAAGAAAUUGUUUAGUGUAAUCGGGUGCUGCCAACACAGGGGCCUCACUCAAGGCCGUUUUGAGCUUCUGGAAAGCGUCCGUGCACUCUGGGGUCCAGGAGACCUGUUUGGGAAGGGCCUUUUUGGUAAGGUCCGUGAGGGGCUUGGCCAGGGCGCUAUAUUCUGGGACGAACUUCCUAUAAUACCCGGCCGUCCCUAAGAAAGCCAGUACCUGGGUUUUGGUCCGUGGUUGGGGCCAGUUAGCUAUGGCUUCUACCUUAGCGGGCUCUGGGCGUUGCCUACCGGAGCCGACACGGUGGCCUAGAUACUGGACCUCGGCUAGGCCUACGUGACACUUGUCGGGUUUCAAAGUGAGCCCGGCGAGGUGGAUUCGUUCGAGUACCCUGGACACAUGACCCAGAUGGUCUCCCCAUGUGCGGCUAUAGAUGGCAAUAUCAUCUAGAUACGCACAUGCGAAGUCCUGAAACCCCUCCAGGAGCCUAUCCGCCAUCCGCUGAAACGUAGCCGGAGCGUUCUUCAUCCCAAAGGGCAUCACCUUAAAUUGGUAUAGCCCAAAAGGGGUGACGAACGCCGACCUGGGGAUGGCCGCAGGCUCCAAGGGGAUCUGCCAAUAACCCUUGCACAGGUCCAGGGUAGUCAAGUAGUUCCCCCCCGCCAUACGGUCUAAGAGCUCAUCUAUUCUAGGCAUGGGGUAGGCAUCGGUUAUGGUACGGUCGUUAAGCCUCCGGUAAUCUACACAGAAGCGCUUAGUGCCGUCGCGCUUCGGUACUAGUACCACCGGGGAGGCCCAAGGACUUUGGGAGGGUUCUAUUACCCCUAGCCGUAACAUAUCCCUUAACUCGGUGAGCAUACUCUCACGUACUGCUUCCGGGAUCCGAUAUGGCUGUUGCCGUAGGGGCGUCUCUCCCUGGGUUUCCACACGGUGUACCGCAGCGGAGGUAUAGCCUGGGGUAGCGGAAAACAUCUCUCGGUAUCCCUGCAGCAGAUGGGUAGCCUCACCUUUCUCCAGGAGGUCUAAAUUUUGCCCCAAGCUUACUUGGUCAAUAGUACAGGGGGUGGUCUCCAGCAAGUCAGGCAGGGGAAGCCCUUCACUAUCCUCUGUGGCGGGGGCGCACACGGCGCCCACCUCCUCUGUCCUUUCAAAAUAUGGUUUGAGCAUGUUCACAUGGAAGGCUUUGGUCAGCCUUUCAUCUGCGCAUUUGCUCACGAUGUAGGUAGUCUCGCUAACCUGUUCCACUACCUUAAAGGGUCCCUGCCAGGCUGCUUGCAGCUUGUCCUUUUUAACGGGCCUCAGAGCCAGUACCUUCUGCCCUAAGUCCAGCACUCUAUCCUGGGCCCUCCUAUCGUACCACUUUUUCUGGUCCUCCUGGGCCGCCUGCAGGUUCUUCCGAACCGAUUCGGUGAGGGCCCGCAGACGGUCCCGGAACUCCAGGACAUACUGGACGAUAGGGACUCCCCCCUCAUCUGUAUUGCCCUCCCAGUGUUCCCGUACGAGCUCCAGGGGGCCCCGAACUUUUCUCCCGUACAAGAGUUCAAAGGGGGAAAACCCAGUGGAGGCCUGGGGCACCUCACGGUAGGCAAACAGAAGGUGGGGAAGGAAUUUUUCCCAAUUCUUGUGGGACUCUGUAAACGUUUUUAGCAUCUGUUUUAGAGUGCCAUUGAAACGUUCACAGAGCCCGUUAGUCUGGGGAUGAUACGGGGCGCUGAACAGGGGCUGCACUCCACAGCUCUGCCACAGUUGUUGCGUCAGGGUGGCUGUGAACUGCGUCCCCCGAUCGGAGAGUAUCUCCUGUGGGAAACCUACUCAGGUGAAUAUCUGAAUAAGGGCCUCUGCCACGGUCUCGGCCUCUAUAUUGGUGAGGGCGACUGCCUCCGGGUAUCUAGUGGCGUAGUCAACCACCGUUAGGAUAAACUUUUUGCCCGACGGACUGGGGCGACUGAGGGGACCUAUUAAAUCCACCGCUACUCGGUGGAAGGGCUGUUCAAUGAUGGGUAGGGGGUGAAGCUUAGCCUUCCGAAGGUCUCCCCUUUUUCCUACCCUUUGGCAUACAUCACAUGUCCUACAAUAGUACUUUAGGUCCUGGGUAGCUCUGGGCCAGAAGAAGGUUUGAGUUAACCUGUCUCUGGUCUUUUUGACCCCUAAAUGUCCUGCUAGGGGAAUGUCAUGACUGAGUUUUAACAACUCAGCCCGAAAUUUACGGGGCACAACUAACUGUCUUUUAUGACCUGGGUAGCCCCCUGUCCCACCCCCUCGGUUACCCUAUAUAGCAACCCCUUAUACCACUCAAAUUUUUCGUGCGGGUUGUUCUCGGGGGUAGCGGCCGCGGCCUUCCUAUAGCCUUCUAAUGUGGGGUCAGUACGCUGUUCCUGUUCAAACCCUGGGGGGUAUCCCAGAAGGGUACGGGGGGAUCGGGUAAAGGGGGUAUUUCGACUCUUACCUGGUUCUCCUCAGAGUGCAGCGGAGCUUCCAGUCUGGCUUGAGCUCGGGUGGUAACCGGGUAGGCCUCGGCAGUGGGGUCUCGGGCUAGUUGAGAGGUUAGGCAUCCCACAUCAUUUCCCAACAAAACCUCGGCGGGCAGUUCUUGCAUAAUCCCCACCUCCAGUUGUUUAGAGCCGGAACCCCAAUCAACAAGCAUAUUAGCGGUGGGCAGUUUGUGAAUAGCGCCCCCAGCCACCCUUACAGCGACUGUGCAUCCGGUGCGAGCUUGUGCUCUGACCGUGUGGGGCUGUACCACAGUCAAAGUAGCCCCAGAGUCUCUCAGCGCCCGGGCCCCCACGCCAUCGACGGUAAUCCAUUGGCGGUGGUGGUCCCGGUUGUCCCCCCCAGCUCGUACUGGAUUGACCUCAUGUAAUACGCUCCACUGUUCUUCGUGGUUAAGGGCAGGGCCUGUGUGUUCCUGUUGCACACAGUGAGCAGCUGCCCUGGGUUGUUGUGGGGCUGGCCGUUCCCAGCUUCCCCGGUUUAAGCGAGGGCACUGAUGCUUGUAAUGUCCUGGUUGCUUGCAGUAGUGACACACUGCAGGAGGUCGAGGUGUGUUUGCUGGGUUUGGUGGGGGGUUACCUAUGGCAGGUCUAGGUGGAGCCGGGUUUGUUGGAGCUGUGUACUGAGGCUUAAAUGGUGGUCUGCUCGCCCCUGGCUCCUUCCUCCUGUUAUCCUGGUACUCGUCCGCUAGCCUAGCGGCCUCCUCCACGGUUUUUGGUUUCCUAUCUUUUACCCAGUCUUUUAUGUCCUCUGCAGUAUGAUUAAAAAAUUGCUCCAGUAUUACUAGUUGCAAAGCUUCUUCUAGGGUGGUUGCCUGGCAGCCCUUCAUCCAAUUGCGGGCUGCCCGCUGCAAGCGAAAAGCCCAUUCCGUAUGGGAAUCUCUCCCAGACUUUCUCAGGUCUCUAAACUUUUUCCGGUAUGCCUCCGGAGUUACCGCAUAUCUGGCCAACAAAAUGUCUUUUAUUUUCUCAUAAUUAUGUAUGUCCCCCUCAGGUACUGCUCGCAGCGCCUCGGCUGCUCUACCUGACAAUUUACUGCUGACGACUGCAGCCCAUUUGGUGGAGUCUAAUCCCUCCAGUGCACACUGACGUUCAAAGUCUUGCAAGUAACUGUCAAUUUCCAUUUCAUUGUCGACAAAUGAUUUAAACGCUGCAUAAUUUACCUUCUUUGGUAUUUCCCCAAUACUUCUCGGGGGGUGUAGCAAAUCCCCCUGUGACGCUCUGUCCCGGUCAUCUCGCUCUUUUUGCGCUUGUCUGGCUUGUGCUACGACCUGCAGUAUCGCCUCUGAGGAUGGCUUGGGUCCCAAUAAACUGAGUGUCCAUCGGAUGUCCUUUUGCAUCACGGUUUCUUCCUCUUGAUCCAUCUCUAUAUUACUGGUAUUAUCGCUCUGCAUUAACUCCGCAAUUAACGUGGCUUUUGUUUUGUUACUUGCCACUCUGCCUCAAGCUUCCAGUAAGUCCUUUAGCGUGGUUCUUUUAAGUAGCUGGUACUGCUGAGCCAUUCAUUCCUUUGCUUGUUUUGAAAUGUCCAUUUGGGGUUCGAAUCCCUCCGCUUGCCACCAGUUGUAAGGAAAUCAAGUAUAGCUGAACCGCUUUGAUAAUUCCUCCUGCAAUGCCAGCGUCUAGGGUAGAUCCAAGCAAUAAAGUCCAUAAGAAAUAUAACAGCUUCCCAAGAUAAUCCCCCUGGUAAAGCAUACGAAUUCCCAAAUAACAGUCAGAGUCCAGAAUCAGGAUACAAGUAGAUCUGAGGUCUGGAAUCCCCAGCCUGCUUUUUAUUAGGGUUACAUACAAAAAAUACACACCCAGGGGGAGGCAUUAAAUCACCAAUCAGGUACAGGUUACAGCCCCUACCUCCCUCCCCUCUGAUAAACAGUUAACUUCAUUAAAACGUGCACUAUUUUACCCCAGUUCUGGAUGUACCCCAAAAACAGGGGGUACACCUUUAAAUUGGGCACCGCUGGAUAGUGCUCACUUGUGGGGACAAUAUGUCAAAAAAUCAGUCCAUUCGGAUGAAUGGUUCGGGAGUUAUGGAGCACUAAAGUUUUGACCGACCGCACGGAUCAUCUAGCCGAAAAUAGUUCCAUAAGUUUUGGCCCUGCGGUCGGUCUCCGUUUAGGCGAAUAAAAAAGACGAAAGUCCUGCCAUCCGUUCGCAUCUUCGUGGUCGUUGAAAUCCCCAUACGAAGUUGCAUGUAACUACCGAACGGCCGGUGAUUCGGUUUUUUCCGUGCGAAGUUCUGGAUGUAUGGAGGUCUCAGCGGUGUUCGCCUGUUUGCGUAUCCGAUUUUAGUUCCACGCGUUGACGGGCAAACACCGCUGUUCGCACGUAAAAUGGCCGCGACCACGUGUAAAGUGCCGAAAUGGCGGCCACCUAGAUUUUACACGGGGAAUUCGCCUGAAUCCAUCCGAAGGGUAGCAAUUAUAGCUAUAUGCCGAAUUCCAGCUGAAUUGGGUGAAUUAACUGUGCAACAAAGGUAGAAAUUCUGAUGAACGGAGUCAUUUCUUCACACCAAUAUCUUGCCAAUCUCAUUUAACCGCUGGCAGACUGUCUCUCUUUUCACAGAAUUGGGAACAGAUUUCUUCUGACGCUUGGAUCCUCCGAACGAUCAAGGGUUACGAGAUAGAUUUUACGGAUGCCCCGACCCAGGCACGUCGCCCGCGACCGAUAAGAACGUCGGCGUCACGCGCCAAACUCAUAGACGACGAAAUUCAAAGCUUGUUUCUCAAGGGAGCGGUCGAAUUUGCUCCGGACGACACGGGCUUCAUCAGCAAUAUAUUUGUUGUCCAGAAGAAGACGGGAGACUACUGACCCGUCAUCAACCUACGAGAUUUGAACGCAUUCGUAGCCUACAGGCACUUCAAAAUGGAGGGCAUUCAUCUUCUCAGGGACCUACUCCUGGAACACGACUGGUUCACUCGCUUGGAUCUAAAGGACGCCUAUCUAUCGAUCCCGAUAGCCCAGUCCAGUCGACCAUUCCUUCGUUUCCACUGGAGGGGUCGCACAUGUCAAUUCACGUGUCUCCCGUUCGGACUCAGUUCCGCACCGUGGUGCUUCACAAAACUGCUCAAGCCGGCAAUGGCGCACCUACGGACAUUGGGUAUCCGCUGCCUAAUAUACCUGGACGACAUUCUGAUAUUCUGUGGAAGCGACUCCAGACUUCGAUCUCAGACGAAAUUUAUAGUGCACUUUCUGGAAUCCUUAGGCUUCAUGGUGAACAGGGAAAAGUCGUCACUCUCCCCAUCAAGAACUGUUCAAUUUCUCGGAUUCAAGAUAGAUUCAGUGUCAUGCACGCUACGCCUUCCCAAAUCAAAGAUUGCGAACAUUCGGAAGGAGAUAAGACGUUUUCUGCGGAGAGACACGGUUCCUCUGAGACUCCUGGCCAGGAUAGUAGGGCUGCUGUCAUCCUCCAUACAAGCUAUCUUCCCGGGACCCCUCCACUAUCGGGCCAUGCAACGAUUGAAAGCUCAUCACCUGAGGCGGGGACACUCUUACGACCAAGAAAUAGGAAUAACUACGGAGGUCCGGACAGAACUUCAUUGGUGGCUCCUCCACAUGGAGGCUUGGAACGGCAGAGCCAUUUUCAGUCUGAACCCGGACUUUGUCGUGGAGUCAGACGCCAGUCUAUGGGGUGGGGAGCCCACUGCGCACACGCGUCCACGGGGGGACCGUGGUCAGAGGAAGAAAAACAACUCCACAUCAAUUGCCUGGAACUGAUAGCCGGAUCCUUUGCUAUCCGCAACCUAGCCAAACACAUGUCCGAUUGUUGCAUUCUCCUACGCAUGGACAACAUAUCUGCGGUCCAGUACGUGAAUCACCUGGGGGGAGCCAGGUCGCGAGCCUUGACCGAGGCUACCAAGGAUAUAUAUCGGUUUUGUCUACCACGCAACAUAACGGUCAGAGCGGAGUACUUACCCGGUCUCAACAACCUCACCGCGGACUGGUUUUCUCGUCAUUGGCGGGACACCAGCGAUUGGAAAUUGGACACAACGAUCUUCGACAUGGUGAGAACGCUCAGGGGGCCGCUCCACAUAGAUCUUUUUGCAUCACGCACGAAUGCACAACUACCAAGGUAUUACAGCUGGCUACUGGAUCCACGGAGCGAGGCGGUGGACGCAUUUCUGCAACACUGGCCCUCGGUAGGGGCAUACGCUUUCCCACCUUUUUCGAUGCUGGCGAGGGUGCUUCACAAAAUACGUCUGGCCAAAACAUCGUUGAUACUAAUAGCACUGCUAUGGAGAAGCCAAGCUUGGUUCCCGGACCUACUAGCGUUGUCUCAGGACCAUCCACUAGUACUGCCAACUUUUCCAAUGCUUCUCACGAACCCGAGUGCAGAACCUCACCCAUUACUAGUACAGGACCGUCUAGAAUUGGUAGCCUGGACUCUUACAGGGGAUCUUGGGCAGUCUCAGAUCUAUCACAAACGACUAAAGAUCUCCUAUGGGACUCAUGGGCACCGGGUACAAGACGUAGCUACAUGGGAUGUAUGGGACCGCUGGUGUCUGGGACGGGGCCUUGAUCCCUUUACAGCACCUGUCUCUGCCAUACUAAAUUUCCUGUCCUACCUGUUCUCCACCGGGAAAUCGUACCGGUCUAUCAAUGUAACUCGCUCCGCCAUCUCGGCGGCGCAUAUUCCGGUCAACGGCACUCCAGUGGGUCAAGAGACCUUAGUGUGUAGGCUAUUAAGGGGCAUCAAAUUAGCCAGACCACCAGCUCCGAAAUAUCAACGACUAUGGGAUGUAGAUGUGGUUAUUCGUUUUAUCCGGGAAUGGCCAGAUAACACGGCCUUGUCACUCAGGCAAUUGUCGGCCAAGCUCACCUUCUUGUUAUGUUUAGUAUCCUUUCGACAGGUUUCGGACGUUCGGACAUUCGACGUAGACGGUUUUUCUAUAACCCCCGUCGGUGUUACGUUUUUGAUUUCGCGCAGGACGAAGACGGAUUCAAAGUCCGUGUCCUAUCCCUUUUUUCCGGCGGUUCCUCGCCUUUGUGUCGUCGAGACUCUGCUCUGCUAUGUAGAGGUUACGGCGCCCCUUCGGCCUUCCGGAUCCGGACAAUUGUUAAUCUCAUACACCAAACCUCACAAGCCAGUCACCACAACUACACUAGCCAGGUGGAUAAGGUGGUUACUAUCUUUAGCUGGAAUUGACACUAGCUUUGGGGCCCAUUCGGUCAGGGGGGCGGCGGCAUCUAGGGCCUUUUUGACGGGAGCCUCUUUGACUGAUAUUUUAUAUACUGCGGAUUGGACAAGUUAAAGGUAAAAACUGAACCAAGGAAUGCUUAACUCACAUGAUGAAAGCUAGUGGACACAACACUCUCAGAUCAUAGUUAUGUCACAAGUUAGUCUCAGGGAUAAAUUAUUCAAGACAGAAAGGUUAAACAGUGUUUAAUGUGGACAAGUUAGAUUAGACGUGUUAUGUGGACAAUAGUUGCGUUCCAAAACCUUUCACUUGUUUCUGUUUUUUUCAGUUUGACAUCGCAUUGUAAAGCGACGGCGGUUCCAGAAUGUUCCCAGUUCACAUCGCAAGUUACCAAGUUUUGUAUUGUUCAAGUUUCUACAACACAACAUCGGACGUUUCUCCAGGCAUGGGUACAUCAAAGAAAGAGGAAAUGGAGAGCCUGUCAGGGACUUAUAUACCGGAUGUACUGGAC